Non-coding RNA from Pimephales promelas (fathead minnow), 260 nucleotides. Lineage: Eukaryota; Metazoa; Chordata; Actinopteri; Cypriniformes; Leuciscidae. The record is from RefSeq and is a predicted model, not a curated record.
CCCCGACCGUGUUCAGAUACGCAGACAGCGGGACACUGGGCGAGCAGAACGCAGCGCAGUAAUCUGCAAUACAGCACAGUUUUACAGGUUUUGCUGGUUCUUAAUGAAGCUCUCCAGCACCUGACAUCCAUUUAGCGGGAAAACAGGACAAACCGUCAAUCCUCCUGAAUAUUACACACUGCACCUUAGAAACGUGAUAGUUGGGUGAAUCCAGCCCUAGAUUUCCCACUGUUCCCACUGACCUCUUCCAUGUGCAGCGA